RNAcentral lists this ribosomal RNA (546 nucleotides) under Triticum aestivum (bread wheat). RNAcentral describes it as "partial small subunit ribosomal RNA". Lineage: Eukaryota; Viridiplantae; Streptophyta; Magnoliopsida; Poales; Poaceae. The record is from RNAcentral.
AUGCCUUGGAAAGGAACACCGACACCCUGUGAUGACGUCGAUCGCCAACUCUUCGCCAUCUGCACUUCCCUACUUUUGGGGGACGGCAGUGUUGCGGUUUUCUGGCGGGAUCGUUGGCUAAAUGGUGAGGCCCCGCAGCAGUUGGUGCCUGAUAUUUACAGUCUUGCUAGAGUUAAGAAUUUGACAGUCAAAGAGGCGCUAUACAAUGGGCGCUGGAUGCAAGGGUUGCAAAGAAUGAACAAUGUUAGUCAACUCUGCCAAUUUGUCAAGCUGUGGGACAAGUUGCAGAUGGUUAAUCUUUCGACAACUAAAGACAAAGCAAAAUGGAACAUCACUGCAAAUGGAGGAUACUCCGCCUGCUCAGCUUAUGAGAUCCAAUUCUCGGCACGGAUUGAGUGGCCCGAGAUUGCCAACGUGUGGAAGACAAAGCUAGAGGGGAGGAUUCGGUUCUAUAUAUGGCUCUUGCUGCAAAAUAGAAAUUGGACCGUAGACAGAUUAUGGGCCAGAGGUUGGCCUCACAAUGCAUGUUGCCGGGUAUGUGAGUAG